UACGUAUGGAGCAAGCGUUAUCCGGAAUUACUGGGUGUAAAGGGAGCGUAGACGGAUCUGCAAGUCUGAUGUGAAAGGCGGGGGCUCAACUCCUGGACUGCAUUGGAAACUGUAGAUCUUGAGUGCCGGAGAGGUAAGCGGAAUUCCUAGUGUAGCGGUGAAAUGCGUAGAUAUUAGGAGGAACACCAGUGGCGAAGGCGGCUUACUGGACGGUAACUGACGUUGAGGCUCGAAAGCGUGGGGAGCAAACAGG
This 253-nucleotide ribosomal RNA is filed under the name uncultured bacterium. RNAcentral describes it as "partial 16S ribosomal RNA". It matches the Rfam family "Bacterial small subunit ribosomal RNA", at positions 524 to 776 of the family's 1533-position model. The record is from RNAcentral.